This 206-nucleotide ribosomal RNA is filed under the name uncultured bacterium. Its description in RNAcentral is "partial 16S ribosomal RNA". It matches the Rfam family "Bacterial small subunit ribosomal RNA", at positions 568 to 774 of the family's 1533-position model. The record is from RNAcentral. RNAcentral also lists the same sequence under 1 other name.
CAUGUAGGCGGGCUUUUAAGUCCGGCGUGAAAAUGCGGGGCUCAACCCCGUAUGGCGUUGGAAACUGGAAGUCUUGAGUGCAGGAGAGGAAAGGGGAAUUCCCAGUGUAGCGGUGAAAUGCGUAGAUAUUGGGAGGAACACCAGUGGCGAAGGCGCCUUUCUGGACUGUGUCUGACGCUCAGAUGCGAAAGCCAGGGUAGCAAACG